This 1120-nucleotide ribosomal RNA is filed under the name uncultured bacterium. RNAcentral describes it as "bacterial SSU rRNA". It matches the Rfam family "Bacterial small subunit ribosomal RNA", at positions 1 to 1120 of the family's 1533-position model. The record is from RNAcentral.
CCUUAAAGUUUGAUCCUGGCUCAGGACGAACGCUGGCGGCGUGCUUAAUACAUGCUAGUCAAACCAAAAUCUUAUGAAUGAGUUUUCGGAAAUCGGAUUCUGAGGACCGAGGUGGAACGGUGAUUAACACUUGAGGAACCUGCCUUUCUCAUGGGGACAACUGUUGGAAACCACUGCUAAUACCGCAUAACCCAUCUGAUUCACGUGGUUCUGAUGUCAAAGGAUCAUUGCUGAUAGAUAUCCUCUCGUCUGAUUAGAUAGUUGGUGAGAUAUCGGCCCACCACGACGACGAUCUGUAUCCGGAGUGAGAGAUUGUCCGCCCACACUGGGAGUGUGAUACGGCCCAGACUCUUACGGGAGACAGCACUGGGGAAUAUUGGGCAAUAGGGGCAAGCCCGACCCAGCAACACCGCGUGAAGGAAGAAGACUUUUUGGUUGUAAACUUUUUUUGUCAGGGAGGAGCUAAAGACGGUACCUAACAAAUAAGCCACGGCUAACUACGUGCCAGCAGCCGCGGUAAUACGUAGGUCACAAGCGUUGUCCGGAUUUACUGGGUGUAAAGGGAGUGCAGCCGGGAAGACAAGUCAGAUGUGAAAUCCACGGGCUCAACUCGUGAACUGCAUUUAAAACUAUUUUUCUUGAGUAUCGGAGAGGCAAUCGGAAUUCCUAGUGUAGCGGUGAAAUGCGUAGAUAUUAGGAGGAACACCAGUGGCGAAGGCGGCUUGCUGGACGACAACUGACGGUGAGGCGCGAAAGCGUGGGGAGCAAACAGGAUUAGAUACCCUGGUAGUCCACGCUGUAAACGAUGAAUACUAGGUGUGCGGGGACUGACCCCUUGCGUGCCGCAGCUAACGCAAUAAGUAUUCCACCUGGGGAGUACGAUCGCAAGGUUGAAACUCAAAGGAAUUGACGGGGGCCCGCACAAGCAGUGGAGUAUGUGGUUUAAUUUGAAGCAACGCGAAGAACCUUACCAGGGCUUGACAUAUUCAUUGAUAUUUAAGAGAUUAAAUAGCUCUUUGGUAGACUGUAUACAGGAUGGUGCAUGGUUGUCGUCAGCUCGUGUCGUGAGAUGUUGGGUUAAGUCCCAGACAACGAGCGCAACCCUUGUGAUUAGUUACUA